RNAcentral lists this ribosomal RNA (1465 nucleotides) under uncultured Eubacteriales bacterium. RNAcentral describes it as "bacterial SSU rRNA". It matches the Rfam family "Bacterial small subunit ribosomal RNA", at positions 28 to 1379 of the family's 1533-position model. The record is from RNAcentral. Lineage: Bacteria; Bacillati; Bacillota; Clostridia; Eubacteriales.
GACGAACGCUGGCGGCGCGCCUAACACAUGCAAGUCGAACGGGGAAAAGCGAAGCACUGUGUGCUUCGCUAAUGUACAAUUUACAAUUUACAAUUGAGGAAUCCGCUGCGCGGAUGAUAUUAAGAUCAGCCGCCGAAGGCGGCCGCUUAAUUGAACAUUGUACAUUAGAAGAAGGGGAGCACAGAGUGCUUUGCUUGACCUAGUGGCGGACGGGUGAGUAACGCGUGAGCAACCUGCCUUUAACAGGGGAAUAACGUCUGGAAACGGACGCUAAUACCGCAUAACAUAUAACCCUGGCAUCGGGGAUAUAUCAAAGGAGAAAUCCGGUUAAAGAUGGGCUCGCGCCCGAUUAGGUAGUUGGUGGGGUAAAGGCCUACCAAGCCUGCGAUCGGUAGCCGUACUGAGAGGUAGAACGGCCACAUUGGGACUGAGACACGGCCCAGACUCCUACGGGAGGCAGCAGUGGGGAAUAUUGCACAAUGGGGGAAACCCUGAUGCAGCGACGCCGCGUGAGUGAAGACGGUCUUCGGAUUGUAAAGCUCUGUCGAGGGGGACGAAACAAAUGACGGUACCCCUUAAGAAAGCCACGGCUAACUACGUGCCAGCAGCCGCGGUAAUACGUAGGUGGCAAGCGUUGUCCGGAAUUACUGGGUGUAAAGGGAGCGUAGGCGGGAUAUCAAGUUGGGUGUGAAAAGCACAGGCUCAACCUGUGAGGUGCACCCAAAACUGAAAUUCUUGAGUGAUGUAGAGGCAGGCGGAAUUCCCAGUGUAGCGGUGAAAUGCGUAGAUAUUGGGAGGAACACCAGUGGCGAAGGCGGCCUGCUGGGCAUUAACUGACGCUGAGGCUCGAAAGCGUGGGGAGCAAACAGGAUUAGAUACCCUGGUAGUCCACGCGGUAAACGAUGAUUACUAGGUGUGGGUGGACUGACCCUAUCCGUGCCGGAGUAAACACAAUAAGUAAUCCACCUGGGGAGUACGGCCGCAAGGUUGAAACUCAAAGGAAUUGACGGGGGCCCGCACAAGCAGUGGAUUAUGUGGUUUAAUUCGAAGCAACGCGAAGAACCUUACCAGGUCUUGACAUCCCGUGCAUAGCGUGGAGACACGUGAAGCCCUUCGGGGCACGGAGACAGGUGGUGCAUGGUUGUCGUCAGCUCGUGUCGUGAGAUGUUGGGUUAAGUCCCGCAACGAGCGCAACCCUUACGAUUAGUUGCUACGCAAGAGCACUCUAAUGGGACUGCCGUUGACAAAACGGAGGAAGGUGGGGAUGACGUCAAAUCAUCAUGCCCUUUAUGACCUGGGCUACACACGUAAUACAAUGGCAGCAAACAACGGGAAGCAAAGCCGCGAGGCGGAGCAAAACCCGAAAAGCUGUCUCAGUUCGGAUUGCAGGCUGCAACCCGCCUGCAUGAAGUCGGAAUUGCUAGUAAUCGCGAAUCAGCAUGUCGCGGUGAAUACGUUCCCGGGC